GAUGAACGCUGGCGGCGUGCCUAAUACAUGCAAGUCGAGCGAACAGACGAGGAGCUUGCUCCUCUGACGUUAGCGGCGGACGGGUGAGUCACACGUGGAUAACCUACCUAUAAGACUGGGAUAACUUCGGGAAACCGGAGCUAAUACCGGAUAAUAUAUUUAACCGCAUGGUUCAAUAGUGAAAGACGGUUUUGCUGUCACUUAUAGAUGGAUCCGCGCCGCAUUAGCUAGUUGGUAAGGUAACGGCUUACCAAGGCAACGAUGCGUAGCCGACCUGAGAGGGUGAUCGGCCACACUGGAACUGAGACACGGUCCAGACUCCUACGGGAGGCAGCAGUAGGGAAUCUUCCGCAAUGGGCGAAAGCCUUACGGAGCAACGCCGCGUGAGUGAUGAAGGUCUUCGGAGCGUAAAACUCUGUUAUUAGUGAAGAACAAAUGUGUAAGUAACUAUGCACGUCUUGACGGUACCUAAGCAGAAAGCCACGGCUAACUACGUG
This 497-nucleotide ribosomal RNA is filed under the name uncultured bacterium. RNAcentral's name for it is "partial 16S ribosomal RNA". It matches the Rfam family "Bacterial small subunit ribosomal RNA", at positions 28 to 507 of the family's 1533-position model. The record is from RNAcentral.